GUCUAUAGCCAUGCCACCCGAAAUGUACCCGAUCUCGUCUGAUCGUGGAAGCUAAGCAGGGUCAAGCCUGGUUAGUACUUGGAUGGGCGACUGACUACCUAGGAAGACGAGAUGUUGUAGGCG
Ribosomal RNA from Pteropus vampyrus (large flying fox), 123 nucleotides. NCBI's taxonomy places the organism in Eukaryota, Metazoa, Chordata, Mammalia, Chiroptera, Pteropodidae. The record is from Ensembl.